Molecule: ribosomal RNA, 332 nt
Filed under: uncultured eukaryote
Lineage: Eukaryota
Description: partial 18S ribosomal RNA
Rfam family: Eukaryotic small subunit ribosomal RNA
Source: RNAcentral
CCCUUAGAUGUCCGGGGCCGCACGCGCGCUACACUGAAGGAAUCAGCGUGGCUUUCUCCCUGACCCGAAAGGGUUGGGAAACCCGUUGAAUCUCCUUCGUGAUAGGGAUUGGGGCUUGAAAUUGUUCCCCAUGAACGAGGAAUUCCUAGUAAACGCAAGUCAUCAGCUUGCAUUGAUUACGUCCCUGCCCUUUGUACACACCGCCCGUCGCACCUACCGAUUGAAUGGUCCGGUGAAAUCUUUGGACCGUGACAUAGUUUUGCUUUCGGGCAAAACGUUGUCGUGGGAAGUUGAUUAAACCUUACCAUUUAGAGGAAGGUGAAGUCGUAACA